This 250-nucleotide ribosomal RNA is filed under the name uncultured bacterium. RNAcentral's name for it is "partial 16S ribosomal RNA". It matches the Rfam family "Bacterial small subunit ribosomal RNA", at positions 355 to 621 of the family's 1533-position model. The record is from RNAcentral.
UAGGGGAUAUUGGUGAAUGCGGGCAACCGCGAACCAGCAACGCCGCGUGUGCGAUGAAGGCCUUCGGGUUGUAAAGCACUUUUGUGUGGGACGAGGAAGGACGGUACCACACGAAUAAGCCUCGGCUAACUACGUGCCAGCAGCCGCGGUAACACGUAGGAGGCGAGCGUUAUCCGGAUUUACUGGGUGUAAAGCGCGAGCAGGCGGUUUUGUAAGUUGGGUGUGAAAGCUCCUGGCUUAACUGGGAGAG